RNAcentral lists this long non-coding RNA (211 nucleotides) under Elaeis guineensis (African oil palm). RNAcentral describes it as "long non-coding RNA (EGUI_LNC025974)". Lineage: Eukaryota; Viridiplantae; Streptophyta; Magnoliopsida; Arecales; Arecaceae. The record is from RNAcentral.
UCGUUUGAAAAAGACUUAUUGCUUUUCAGAGGCAAAAUCAUAAUUUUACCAAACCCUGAUUUGAAAGCAUCAAGUGAUAGAACAAAAGAUUUGUGAUCCAUAGGUGAAAAUUUUAUAGUUUUUGGACAUGUAUUUUGAAAGAUAUUCAUGAUUGAAAAAUUUGAGUCGACCCCAUGAGUCGACUCAUGGCACAAUGAGCUGAUUGGCACAC